GCUGUAGCUCAGUGGAAAAGCGCUUGCCUAGAACACAUGAGGCACUGGGUUCAAUCCUCAACACUGCA
This 68-nucleotide transfer RNA is filed under the name Marmota monax (woodchuck). RNAcentral describes it as "tRNA.Ser". Lineage: Eukaryota; Metazoa; Chordata; Mammalia; Rodentia; Sciuridae. The record is from RNAcentral.